Molecule: long non-coding RNA, 526 nt
Filed under: Cyanistes caeruleus (blue tit)
Lineage: Eukaryota; Metazoa; Chordata; Aves; Passeriformes; Paridae
Description: lncRNA (ENSCCEG00000012057.1)
Source: RNAcentral
GCCAGAUUUAUAUAAAUAAAAAAGCAGAUUUUCCCCGUCUCUCUUGGCUGCUGUUGAACAGCAUCAGUUUCAAGACCACACAAGGAGCUGUGUCGACAGCUCAGAAAUGUGCAGGAAAGGCAGAGGUAGGAAGGGUUCAAAGGACCUUGAUAACUUGCUUUGGGCUUCUAAUGCAUGGAGGUUCCCUGUGGACGUUAAGGAGUAGCCCUUUCACUGGGGUGCUAAAAGAGUUAUUUUGAUGUUUUGUUCUGGAAGGACCUUCUUGCAAACUAUGGGGGACUCUUUGAUUCGGAGCAAAGAGGAUAGUUGCUGGGAUGUGAUGAAGGCUCUGAAAGGAAAAAAUAAAUUAACAUCCGGUGGGCUUCUCCUCCUACUCUGCAUACAGGAAGUCUUAAGGAGACCACAGGACACUAUCAGUACUGCCUCCCAACACAUUCUGGAUCCCAAGAACCCUUCCUAUUCCUCUACAGCCUCUAAUAACUUCACUUAAAAUAAAACUCCUAGUUUGGUGUUUCUUGUCUGAAAU